GACGAACGCUGGCGGCGUGCUUAACACAUGCAAGUCGAACGGAAAGGCCCUGCGUUUGUGGGGUGCUCGAUUGGCGAACGGGUGAGUAACACGUGAGUAAACUGCCCUUGACUUUGGGAUAACUUCAGGAAACUGGGGCUAUUACCGGAUAGGAGCUCCUGCUGCAUGGUGGGGGUUGGAAAGUUUCGGCGGUUGGGGAUGGACUCGCGGCUUAUCAGCUUCUUGGUGGGGUAGUGGCGUACCAGGGCUUUGACGGGUAGCCGGCCUGAGAGGGUUACCGGGCACAUUGGUACUGAGAGACGGCGCAGAAGGCUACCGGAGGCAGUAGUGGGGAAUAUUGCAGAACGGGCGGAAGUCUGAUGCAGCAACGCCGCGUGCGGGAUAACCUGCUUCGGGGUGUAAACCGCUGUCGCCUGUGACGAAGAGUGAGUGACGGUAAUUGGUAAAAAAGCAACGGCUAACUACGUG
This 468-nucleotide ribosomal RNA is filed under the name uncultured bacterium. RNAcentral's name for it is "partial 16S ribosomal RNA". It matches the Rfam family "Bacterial small subunit ribosomal RNA", at positions 28 to 507 of the family's 1533-position model. The record is from RNAcentral.